CACGUAGGCGGUUUUAUAAGUCAGCGGUGAAAUUCCAGGGCUCAACCUUGGGACUGCCAUUGAUACUGUGAGACUAGAGUGUAUGAGAGGAUGAUGGAAUAUCCAGUGUAGAGGUGAAAUUCGUAGAUAUUGGAUAGAACACCAGUGGCGAAGGCGAUUAUCUGGCAUACAACUGACGCUGAGGUGCGAAAGCGUGGGUAGCAAACAGGAUUAGAUACCCUGGUAGUCCACGCUGUAAACGAUGAGUGCUAGAUAUAUGGGGCGAUAAGCUUUUUGUGUCGUAGUUAACGCGUUAAGCACUCCGCCUGGGGAGUACGGUCGCAAGAUUAAA
This 331-nucleotide ribosomal RNA is filed under the name uncultured bacterium. RNAcentral describes it as "bacterial SSU rRNA". It matches the Rfam family "Bacterial small subunit ribosomal RNA", at positions 568 to 898 of the family's 1533-position model. The record is from RNAcentral.